This 1003-nucleotide long non-coding RNA is filed under the name Bos indicus x Bos taurus (hybrid cattle). Its description in RNAcentral is "lncRNA (ENSBIXG00005027903.1)". Lineage: Eukaryota; Metazoa; Chordata; Mammalia; Artiodactyla; Bovidae. The record is from RNAcentral.
AUGUCUGGGUUCAAGUCUCCAGAGACACUUUGGCCUGUGGUGGGUUCUCAGUAUACACCAGGGGAUUUAAUUUUCUUACAUUGGUCCUUCUCACCAGUCUUCCCAGCUCAGCAGAGCCAGGCCUGUCUCCAUGAAGAACCCGAGCCUGGAGCGGAGGAGACUCAUUGGUGUCAGCAGCAGUGCCAGGAGGCAACCCUCGGUCUCUCAGUUUUCCACAGAUCUAGAUACCCGUGGGCUGCUUGGAGUCUCCAUGAGUCUGCAUCAAGUUCUGUCUACUGUUCUUCCUCCACCAAGAAGUCUUCCCUGAUUGAGCCCUUGACAUCUGGUGGCUGUCUCUUUCUCUGCCCAGUCCUGACACUGAGUAGCUCCUUAGUCUCAUUUCCCUAACUGUCUCCUGUAAUGGGCUGGAUUGUGUCUCUCCCACCUUGCAAUUCAUAUGUUGAAGUCUCAAGUCCUCGGUACUGCAGAAUGUGAUUAGAUUUGGAGACAGGGUCGUUAAGAGGUGGUUAAGGCAAAAUGAGGUCAUGUGGGUGUCCUUAAUCCAAUAUGACUGGUGUCCUUGUAAGAAGAGACUAGGACAGGGACAUUCACAGAAGGAAGACCACGUGGAGACACAGGGAGGAAACAGUCACCUAUCAGUCAAGGAAAUAGGACUUAGAAGAAACCAAACCAGCUGACACCUUAAUCUUGGACUUCUAGCUUCCACAACUGUGACAUAAAGAAUUUCUGCUCUUGGGCUUCCCUGGUGGUCCAGUGGCUAGGAAUCCACCUGUCAGUGCAGGGUACAUGGGUUUGAUUCCUGGUCUGGAAAGAUUCCACAUGCCAAAAAGCAAUUAAGCCUGUGUGCCACGACUGUGAACCUGCAUUUUAGAGCCUCGGAGCCGCAACCCCUGAGCCCACACACCUAGACCUUGUGUUCUGCAGCAAGAGAAGCGACAGCAAUGAGAAGCCCUGCAGCAAAGAGUAGUCCCUGCUUGAUGCAACUAGAGGAAGCCCGUGCACA